AGAGUUUGAUCCUGGCUCAGGACGAACGCUGGCGGCGCGCCUAACACAUGCAAGUCGAGCGAGAACCAGGGCUUCGGCCCUGGGGACAGCGGCGAACGGGUGAGUAACACGUGGAUAACCUGCCCUCGGCACCGGAAUAGCCCGGGGAAACCCGGAUUAAUGCCGGAUAGCCCCACAUCCCUGCGGGGAACGUGGGAAAAGGUAGCUUCGGCCUCUGGCCGAGGAUGGGUCCGCGGUGGAUUAGCUUGUUGGCGGGGUAACGGCCCACCAAGGCGACGAUCCAUAGCUGGUCUGAGAGGACGAUCAGCCACACUGGGACUGAGACACGGCCCAGACUCCUACGGGAGGCAGCAGUGGGGAAUCUUGCGCAAUGGGCGAAAGCCUGACGCAGCGACGCCGCGUGCGGGAAGAAGGCCUUCGGGUUGUAAACCGCUUUCAGGAGGGACGAAGCCACUCGGGUUAAUAGCCCAGAGGGUGACGGUACCUCCAGAAGAAGCCCCGGCUAACUACGUGCCAGCAGCCGCGGUAAUACGUAGGGGGCAAGCGUUGUCCGGAUUCAUUGGGCGUAAAGAGCGUGUAGGCGGCCAGGUAGGUCGGUUGUGAAAACUGGAGGCUCAACCUUCAGAGGUCGACCGAAACCAUCUGGCUAGAGUCCGGGAGAGGAGAGUGGAAUUCCUGGUGUAGCGGUGAAAUGCGCAGAUAUCAGGAAGAACACCCGUGGCGAAAGCGGCUCUCUGGAACGGUACUGACGCUGAGACGCGAAAGCGUGGGGAGCGAACAGGAUUAGAUACCCUGGUAGUCCACGCCGUAAACGAUGGGCACUAGGUGUGGGAGGUGUCGACUCCUUCCGUGCCGAAGCUAACGCAUUAAGUGCCCCGCCUGGGGAGUACGGCCGCAAGGCUAAAACUCAAAGGAAUUGACGG
RNAcentral lists this ribosomal RNA (923 nucleotides) under uncultured soil bacterium. Its description in RNAcentral is "bacterial SSU rRNA". It matches the Rfam family "Bacterial small subunit ribosomal RNA", at positions 8 to 916 of the family's 1533-position model. The record is from RNAcentral.